This is a regulatory RNA element of Kiritimatiella glycovorans, 100 nucleotides long. It matches the Rfam family "Pyrrolysine insertion sequence mttB". The record is from Rfam. NCBI's taxonomy places the organism in Bacteria, Pseudomonadati, Kiritimatiellota, Kiritimatiellia, Kiritimatiellales, Kiritimatiellaceae.
ACCUCGGACGCGAAGGAGGUCGACGUCCAGGCCGCGUACGAAACCUCGAUGUCCAGCCUGCUCGUGGCCAUGUCGGGAGCGAAUUACAUCCACGACAUCG